UACGUAGGGUGCAAGCGUUAAUCGGAAUUACUGGGCGUAAAGCGUGCGCAGGCGGUUCGCUGUGUCCUGUGUGAAAGCCCCGGGCUUAACCUGGGAAUGGCAUGGGAAACUGGCGGGCUGGAGUGUGGCAGAGGGGGGUGGAAUUCCGCGUGUAGCAGUGAAAUGCGUAGAGAUCCGGAGGAACACCAAAGGCGAAGGCAGUGUCCUGGGGAGUACCUGACGCUCAGGUGCGAAAGCCAGGGGAGCGAACGGG
Molecule: ribosomal RNA, 253 nt
Filed under: uncultured bacterium
Lineage: Bacteria
Description: partial 16S ribosomal RNA
Rfam family: Bacterial small subunit ribosomal RNA
Source: RNAcentral